Molecule: ribosomal RNA, 465 nt
Filed under: uncultured bacterium
Lineage: Bacteria
Description: partial 16S ribosomal RNA
Rfam family: Bacterial small subunit ribosomal RNA
Source: RNAcentral
GACGAACGCUGGCGGCGUGCUUAACACAUGCCAGUCGAACGGAAAGGCCCCUUUGGGGGUACUCGAGUGGCGAACGGGUGAGUAACACGUGAGUAACCUGCCCUUGACUUCGGGAUAACUUCAGGAAACUGGGUCUAAUACCGGAUAGGAAUCCUUGCUGCAUGGUGGGGGUUGGAAAGCUUCGGCGGUUUUGGAUGGACUCGCGGCUUAUCAGCUUGUUGGUGGGGUAGUGGCUUACCAAGGCUUUGACGGGUAGCCGGCCUGAGAGGGCGACCGGCCAAAUUGGGACUGAGAUACGGCCCAGACUCCUACGGGAGGCAGCAGUGGGGAAUAUUGCACAAUGGGCGGAAGCCUGAUGCAGCAACGCCGCGUGCGGGAUGACGGCCUUCGGGUUGUAAACCGCUUUCAGCAGGGGCGAAGCUUGUGGUGACGGUACCUGCAGAAGAAGCACCGGCUAACUACGUG